UACAGAGGGUGCAAGCGUUGUUCGGAAUUACUGGGCGUAAAGCGCGUGUAGGCGGCUCUGCAAGUCGGAUGUGAAAUCCCACGGCUCAACCCUGGAAGUGCAUUCGAAACUGCAGGGCUAGAGUCCUGGAGAGGAAGGUGGAAUGCUUGGUGUAGAGGUGAAAUUCGUAGAUAUCAAGCGGAACACCGAUGGCGAAGGCAAUCCCCUGGACCUGUACUGACGCUCAUGCACGAAAGCGUGGGGAGCAAACAGG
RNAcentral lists this ribosomal RNA (253 nucleotides) under uncultured bacterium. Its description in RNAcentral is "partial 16S ribosomal RNA". It matches the Rfam family "Bacterial small subunit ribosomal RNA", at positions 524 to 776 of the family's 1533-position model. The record is from RNAcentral.